CAAAGGGCAAUGAUCAGAUCUUCCCUCUGGGGGCAGGAAACUGCCAACUCCCUUUUGUCCUCUGGAAAUGACUCAUGGGGAGGGGGAGAGGAGGAACCAGCCAGGUGACAAGAUACUCAGGUUACCUCCACAACUCCUCCCUCGACCCCUCCUUUUUGUGAUGUUUCAAUGAUGUAGUCAUGAUGUAAUUGUGAUGUAGUUCUAGGGGUGUAGUUUGGGGGAUUAGUAACUAAUAAAAGUUGGGGUCUUCCAUUUUGUUUCACCUGGUGGCAGGUGGGAGUCCUGUCGCGACAGUCUUCAAUAAAGACCAAGCCUACUGGCGGCUGUUUUGCUCUGGUACUCCUGGCUGGUGUCCUUGUUUUUUUGUCCAAGGGAGCCCUCAGAUUUCUCCGUUAACAAAGUGAAAUACAGACGAGAUUUGUCUCAUCUCGAUCUCCUUCCUGCAGGGAACAUUGAAGAUGUUGGCGGCAAUUGAUCAGAACUAAGCAAGGAGCCUCUUAAUGGAUCAGCCAGGCUUGUUUACCAGAAUACAGUCGCCUGCUUUGUCCUGCGCAGCUGCAAUUUCACACAUCAGAAAGAACAGUGAGGGAAGAGAUAGGUCAAAUGAACCCGGUCCUGCCUUUGGAAUCGCAUCAGCCACAAACGAC
Non-coding RNA from Podarcis lilfordi (Lilford's wall lizard), 647 nucleotides. NCBI's taxonomy places the organism in Eukaryota, Metazoa, Chordata, Lepidosauria, Squamata, Lacertidae. The record is from the annotation of a GenBank genome assembly.